AUUGAACGCUGGCGGCAGGCCUAACACAUGCAAGUCGAACGGUAACAGGAAACAGCUUGCUGUUUCGCUGACGAGUGGCGGACGGGUGAGUAAUGUCUGGGAAACUGCCUGAUGGAGGGGGAUAACUACUGGAAACGGUAGCUAAUACCGCAUAACGUCGCAAGACCAAAGAGGGGGACCCUCGGGCCUCUUGCCAUCGGAUGCGCCCAGAUGGGAUUAGCUUGUUGGUGGGGUAACGGCUCACCAAGGCGACGAUCCCUAGCUGGUCUGAGAGGAUGACCAGCCACACUGGAACUGAGACACGGUCCAGACUCCUACGGGAGGCAGCAGUGGGGAAUAUUGCACAAUGGGCGCAAGCCUGAUGCAGCCAUGCCGCGUGUAUGAAGAAGGCCUUCGGGUUGUAAAGUACUUUCAGCGGGGAGGAAGGGAGUAAAGUUAAUACCUUGGCUCAUUGACGUUACCCGCAGAAGAAGCACCGGCUAACUCCGUG
RNAcentral lists this ribosomal RNA (490 nucleotides) under uncultured bacterium. RNAcentral's name for it is "partial 16S ribosomal RNA". It matches the Rfam family "Bacterial small subunit ribosomal RNA", at positions 30 to 507 of the family's 1533-position model. The record is from RNAcentral.